GAUGAACGCUGGCGGCGUGCCUAAUACAUGCAAGUCGAGCGAACAGACGAGGAGCUUGCUCCUCUGACGUUAGCGGCGGACGGGUAAGUAACACGUGGAUAACCUACCUAUAAGACUGGGAUAACUUCGGGAAACCGGAGCUAAUACCGGAUAAUAUAUUGAACCGCAUGGUUCAAUAGUGAAAGACGGUUUUGCUGUCACUUAUAGAUGGAUCCGCGCCGCAUUAGCUAGUUGGUAAGGUAACGGCUUACCAAGGCGACGAUGCGUAGCCGACCUGAGAGGGUGAUCGGCCACACUGGAACUGAGACACGGUCCAGACUCCUACGGGAGGCAGCAGUAGGGAAUCUUCCGCAAUGGGCGAAAGCCUGACGGAGCAACGCCGCGUGAGUGAUGAAGGUCUUCGGAUCGUAAAACUCUGUUAUUAGGGAAGAACAAAUGUGUAAGUAACUAUGCACAUCUUGACGGUACCUAAUCAGAAAGCCACGGCUAACUACGUG
Molecule: ribosomal RNA, 497 nt
Filed under: uncultured bacterium
Lineage: Bacteria
Description: partial 16S ribosomal RNA
Rfam family: Bacterial small subunit ribosomal RNA
Source: RNAcentral